UGGGGAAUAUUGAACAAUGGGCGGAAGCCUGAUCCAGCAACGCCGCGUGAGGGAUGACGGCCUUCGGGUUGUAAACCUCUUUCAGCACAGACGAAGCGCAAGUGACGGUAUGUGCAGAAGAAGGACCGGCCAACUACGUGCCAGCAGCCGCGGUAAUACGUAGGGUCCGAGCGUUGUCCGGAAUUAUUGGGCGUAAAGGGCUCGUAGGCGGUUUGUCGCGUCGGGAGUGAAAACACCGGGCUUAACUCGGUGCUUGCUUUCGAUACGGGCAGACUAGAGGUAUUCAGGGGAGAACGGAAUUCCUGGUGUAGCGGUGAAAUGCGCAGAUAUCAGGAGGAACACCGGUGGCGAAGGCGGUUCUCUGGGAAUAUCCUGACGCUGAGGAGCGAAAAGUGUGGGGAACGAACAGGAUUAGAUACCCUGGUAGUCCACACCGUAAAACGUUGGGCGCUAGGUGUGGGGGUCCAUUCCACGGAUUCCGUGCCGCAGCUAACGCAUUAAGCGCCCCGCCUGGGGAGUACGGCCGCAAGGCUAAAACUUAAAUGAA
Molecule: ribosomal RNA, 547 nt
Filed under: uncultured bacterium
Lineage: Bacteria
Description: partial 16S ribosomal RNA
Rfam family: Bacterial small subunit ribosomal RNA
Source: RNAcentral